AGUGAACGCUGGCGGUAGGCCUAACACAUGCAAGUCGAACGGCAGCACAGUAAGAGCUUGCUCUUACGGGUGGCGAGUGGCGGACGGGUGAGGAAUACAUCGGAAUCUACUUUUUCGUGGGGGAUAACGUAGGGAAACUUACGCUAAUACCGCAUACGACCUACGGGUGAAAGCAGGGGAUCUUCGGACCUUGCGCGAUUGAAUGAGCCGAUGUCGGAUUAGCUAGUUGGCGGGGUAAGGCCCACCAAGGCGACGAUCCGUAGCUGGUCUGAGAGGAUGAUCAGCCACACUGGAACUGGGACACGGUCCAGACUCCUACGGGAGGCAGCAGUGGGGAAUAUUGGACAAUGGGCGCAAGCCUGAUCCAGCCAUACCGCGUGGGUGAAGAAGGCCUUCGGGUUGUAAAGCCCUUUUGUUGGGAAAGAAAAGCAGCAGGUUAAUACCCCGCUGUUCUGACGGUACCCAAAGAAUAAGCACCGGCUAACUUCGUG
RNAcentral lists this ribosomal RNA (491 nucleotides) under uncultured bacterium. Its description in RNAcentral is "partial 16S ribosomal RNA". It matches the Rfam family "Bacterial small subunit ribosomal RNA", at positions 29 to 507 of the family's 1533-position model. The record is from RNAcentral.